AUCCCCAGAGCCUCACUAAUGCAAGAUCCGGAUCCAUACCCGGAGAUAAAAGUCUAGACAAUAGACGGCUGUUUAUGACAACGAGACUCUCCAAGUUUGGGGCCAGGCGAUAAAUCUCUGGCGAAUCUUCCUGUAACUCAACUUCUGGCUGUAGUGA
RNAcentral lists this small RNA (157 nucleotides) under Microtus ochrogaster (prairie vole). RNAcentral describes it as "sRNA (ENSMOCG00000004777.1)". Lineage: Eukaryota; Metazoa; Chordata; Mammalia; Rodentia; Cricetidae. The record is from RNAcentral.